RNAcentral lists this long non-coding RNA (285 nucleotides) under Capsicum annuum. RNAcentral's name for it is "long non-coding RNA (CANN_LNC002154)". Lineage: Eukaryota; Viridiplantae; Streptophyta; Magnoliopsida; Solanales; Solanaceae. The record is from RNAcentral.
AUCCCUCAAAAUUUCACCAUUAAAUUUCAAAAUUGAUUCAAGAAUUAGAAUCCCCAAACUAAGAUCUUCAAGAAUCAUCCAUCAAAAGCACAAAUAGAGUCCCAAAAGCAAGUGUUUAUCCAAAGUUCAUAAUCUAAGGUACGUGGAGUUUAUCCUAAAAACUACAUGGGCUUGUAAACACUAGAACAUGAUUUAAAGAUUAUCAAACAUGAAUUUAGAAAAGGGGUUUUUAAAUACAUGAUUUUAUUAUACAUAAUGAAUGUUUAAUUAUACUGUUGAUUUGGU